UGAGCUACUGAAGGAAGGAACAACUGCAGGAACAAACAGAGGAAAAGAGAAGAAAAACUGGCUGAGGCACCACGGUAUCCAGACAGGGCACUGCUGGAAGGACUCCAGGAUGAAACACCACUCAAAAUGAGAUAAGAUGGUCCUGUCAACAAAAGAAGGAUGACAUAAGGUGCCAAUUCAAAUCAGCAGUUAAAAUGGCGGGAGGCUUGACAUUCGCAGAACCUUCAAGAACCAGUGUGGCUUCUAGAUCAAAUGCGGCUUCCAGAUCUAAUGUGUCAUCCAGAUCCAAUGUGGCUUCCAGAUCGAAUGUGUCAUCCAGAUCCAAUGUGGCUUCCAGAUCGAAUGUGUCAUCCAGAUCCAGUGUGGCAUCCAGAACAAGACUAAAAAGAAGAAGAAAACAGGCCCCUGCAAGGGGGAAGCUAGCUGCUUUUUUGCAUAAUAUACGAGACUUGUUUCCAUCUUCCAUUGGUAUAUUUACUGCAGUAACGCUGUGCCUGAUCCUAUUUUUUGCCGCACUCGGGACAACUAUUUUGUAUAUUCAGGGAUCAGGAACGUCAUCUGCUGUAGUAAAAGCAUUUAAGAACAUUAAGGAUUUUAUGAUAAAAAGGGAACCCUCUCUCAAAGGCAAGAAUGAAUGUGACCGUUCACUGGAUUUUUGGAAAGUGGCUUUUAAUAUACAUUGAUGGAUGUUUGAGAUCCCACUGGCUUGAAUUAUUCAAACCUUUUAGAUGCUGAAAUAUUUCGUGAAACUCAGAAGUUAGCAGACAAACUGGUUGACUUGAUCAUCAAUGUGACUGAAAUAGAAGAUGAAAUUGAGGAUAUUAGUAAAAAGCUUCGUCAGCAAUGGGUGCCGUACAAGGAAGUCUUAUAUUUAUUUGAAGACAGAACGAAGCCGUGGCACAAAGCAAUAACAGCUUGUGAGGAUGAAAAAUCCAUGCUGAUUACUAUUGGAAGUCUUGAAGAGGAGGAGUUUCUAGAAAGAGAAACCAAUACUGCACAUCAAGACUCGUGGAUUGGUCUUCCUUACAAGGAUGGGAAAUGGCAAUGGUAUAACGGUAUUAAUGUUGGAACCACUUACUGGAAGGCAGGUAUGCCGCAUGAUUUAGAUAACAAACGCUGUGCCAUCCUAAAAGCACAUUGCUCUACCCCCCAAAAAUGCUGGGAAAACAUUCCCUGUGAUAGACAAAAAAGAUGGAUAUGUAAGAAGAUGCCUGAUAAAAGGUGGUACACGUUAAACCCUUGAUGAAACUGGAUUGCAUGAGCUCUAUGCUAAAAACAGACAGUGGAUCGAUCCCCGCUUUUAAAAGUCAGCUGUCCGGGUUAUGGAAUCAGGGCAUGGGAGAGCUCAACCCUCUGCUGUCAACAAUCAAAAGCACCUUGUCAGUAUUCCUUCCUCAGGACUGGAAGAAGAGAUCUUAUUUUGCAACCUCAAAGACUUGGACCACAUGGAAGAAUUCAGUCCUAACUAGCUUCUGUACUUCCAAUAAAUUAAUUUAGUAUAAUGUUA
Podarcis raffonei (Aeolian wall lizard) is the source of this 1507-nucleotide RNA transcript. It is a transcript of the gene named CD209 antigen-like protein E, with no coding region annotated. The record is from RefSeq and is a predicted model, not a curated record. Lineage: Eukaryota; Metazoa; Chordata; Lepidosauria; Squamata; Lacertidae. The transcript is spliced from 10 exons.